Molecule: transfer RNA, 41 nt
Filed under: Canis lupus (wolf)
Lineage: Eukaryota; Metazoa; Chordata; Mammalia; Carnivora; Canidae
Also listed under: 1 other name
Description: partial tRNA-Lys
Source: RNAcentral
UUUUAAGUUAAAGACUGGGAGUUUUAACCUCUCCUUAAUGA